GCGGAGGAUGGUUGUGAGUGGAGGAUUCAUGCUUCCCCUAUUGAAGAUAAAGUGACUUUUAUGAUUAAGUCAUUUAAUCCUAGGCAUACCUGCUCUAGGAGGAAAGAUAAAAACCUAGAUGCAACUUCAACAUGGAUAACCAAGAAACUUGGUCCACAACUCAAGGUAGAUCCUGAGCUCUCUACUCAAAGAUGCAAGCUUGAGGGUCAUAAUAGGACAUCAUGUACGAGUGGUGCCGUUAGAAGGAAGAGGAAACGAACAUCUAAACAGAACAUGCAGAAUCAAAAUAUAGUGGGCACUCAAACUAAUGUCAAUGUUUCUCAAAGGACUAGAUCACAUAAUGAAGCAACAGACCAAAUGGAUAGUGUUCAAGCAAGGA
Macadamia integrifolia is the source of this 379-nucleotide long non-coding RNA. RefSeq lists it as uncharacterized. NCBI's taxonomy places the organism in Eukaryota, Viridiplantae, Streptophyta, Magnoliopsida, Proteales, Proteaceae. The record is from RefSeq and is a predicted model, not a curated record. The transcript is spliced from 2 exons.